Molecule: ribosomal RNA, 492 nt
Filed under: Acrorhynchides robustus
Lineage: Eukaryota; Metazoa; Platyhelminthes; Rhabdocoela; Polycystididae
Description: SSU rRNA
Rfam family: Eukaryotic small subunit ribosomal RNA
Source: RNAcentral
UAGUCAUAUGCUUGUCUCAAAGAUUAAGCCAUGCAUGUAUAAGUUCACACCCUUUGAAUGGUGAAACCGCGAAUGGCUCAUUAAAUCAGCUAUUGUUCCUUAGAUCUUACAUUGUUACAUGGAUACUGUAGUAAUUCUAGAGCUAAUACAUGCCAUUAUACUCUGACCGCAAGGAAAGGGUGGAUUUAUUAGAUCAAAACUAACCAGUGCUUCUGCAUUGCUAGUUUGAUGGCUCUGGAUAACUUUUUCUGAUCGCAAAGCCUUGUGCUAGCGACGGGAAUCAGGGUUCGAUUCCGGAGAGGGAGCCUUAGAAAUGGCUACCACAUCUAAGGAAGGCAGCAGGCCGCAAUACCCACUCUCAGCUAGAGGAGGUAGUGACGAAAAAUAACGAUGCAGGACUCUUUCGAGGCUCUGCAAUUGGAAUGAGUCAAUUUAAAUCCUUUAACGAGGAACAAUUGGAGGGCAAGUCUGGUGCCAGCAGCCGCGGUAAUA